UGGGGGAGCCUAAUCUGCAAGUCGAGCGAUGGAUUAGAGCUUGCUCUUAUGAAGUUAGCGGCGGACGGGUGAGUAACACGUGGGUAACCUGCCCAUAAGACUGGGAUAACUCCGGGAAACCGGGGCUAAUACCGGAUAACAUUUUGAACCGCAUGGUUCGAAAUUGAAAGGCGGCUUCGGCUGUCACUUAUGGAUGGACCCGCGUCGCAUUAGCUAGUUGGUGAGGUAACGGCUCACCAAGGCAACGAUGCGUAGCCGACCUGAGAGGGUGAUCGGCCACACUGGGACUGAGACACGGCCCAGACUCCUACGGGAGGCAGCAGUAGGGAAUCUUCCGCAAUGGACGAAAGUCUGACGGAGCAACGCCGCGUGAGUGAUGAAGGCUUUCGGGUCGUAAAACUCUGUUGUUAGGGAAGAACAAGUGCUAGUUGAAUAAGCUGGCACCUUGACGGUACCUAACCAGA
Molecule: ribosomal RNA, 464 nt
Filed under: Bacillus cereus
Lineage: Bacteria; Bacillati; Bacillota; Bacilli; Caryophanales; Bacillaceae
Description: bacterial SSU rRNA
Rfam family: Bacterial small subunit ribosomal RNA
Source: RNAcentral